Molecule: ribosomal RNA, 497 nt
Filed under: uncultured bacterium
Lineage: Bacteria
Description: partial 16S ribosomal RNA
Rfam family: Bacterial small subunit ribosomal RNA
Source: RNAcentral
GACGAACGCUGGCGGCGUGCCUAAUACAUGCAAGUUGAGCGCUGAAGGUUGGUACUUGUACCGACUGGAUGAGCAGCGAACGGGUGAGUAACGCGUGGGGAAUCUGCCUUUGAGCGGGGGACAACAUUUGGAAACGAAUGCUAAUACCGCAUAAAAACUUUAAACACAAGUUUUAAGUUUGAAAGAUGCAAUUGCAUCACUCAAAGAUGAUCCCGCGUUGUAUUAGCUAGUUGGUGAGGUAAAGGCUCACCAAGGCGAUGAUACAUAGCCGACCUGAGAGGGUGAUCGGCCACAUUGGGACUGAGACACGGCCCAAACCCCUACGGGAGGCAGCAGUAGGGAAUCUUCGGAAAUGGACGAAAGUCUGACCGAGCAACGCCGCGUGAGUGAAGAAGGGUUUCGGAUCGUAAAACUCUGUUGGUAGAGAAGAACGUUGGUGAGAGUGGAAAGCUCAUCAAGUGACGGUAACUACACAGAAAGGGACGGCUAACUACGUG